Molecule: transfer RNA, 76 nt
Filed under: Deltaproteobacteria bacterium
Lineage: Bacteria; Pseudomonadati; Myxococcota; Myxococcia
Description: tRNA-Arg
Rfam family: tRNA
About the family: Transfer RNA (tRNA) molecules are approximately 80 nucleotides in length. Their secondary structure includes four short double-helical elements and three loops (D, anti-codon, and T loops).
Source: RNAcentral
GGGCGAUUAGCUCAGUGGAUAGAGUGCUGGUCUCCGGAACCAGAAGUCGCGCGUUCGAAUCGCGCAUCGCCCGCCA